GGGUUGUGAGGUUAAGCGACUAAGCGUACACGGUGGAUGCCCUGGCAGUCAGAGGCGAUGAAGGACGUGCUAAUCUGCGAUAAGCGCCGGUAAGGUGAUAUGAACCGUUAUAACCGGCGAUUUCCGAAUGGGGAAACCCAGUGUGACUCGUCACACUAUCAUUAACUGAAUCCAUAGGUUAAUGAGGCGAACCGGGGGAACUGAAACAUCUAAGUACCCCGAGGAAAAGAAAUCAACCGAGAUUCCCCCAGUAGCGGCGAGCGAACGGGGANNNNNNNNNNNNNNNNNNNNNNNNNNNNNNNNNNNNNNNNNNNNNNNNNNNNNNNNNNNNNNNNNNNNNNNNNNNNNNNNNNNNNNNNNNNNNNNNNNNNNNNNNNNNNNNNNNNNNNNNNNNNNNNNNGGGCGUUAAGUUGCAGGGUAUAGACCCGAAACCCGGUGAUCUAGCCAUGGGCAGGUUGAAGGUUGGGUAACACUAACUGGAGGACCGAACCGACUAAUGUUGAAAAAUUAGCGGAUGACCUGUGGCUGGGGGUGAAAGGCCAAUCAAACCGGGAGAUAGCUGGUUCUCCCCGAAAGCUAUUUAGGUAGCGCCUCGUGAAUUCAUCUCCGGGGGUAGAGCACUGUUUCGGCUAGGGGGCCAUCCCGGCUUACCAACCCGAUGCAAACUGCGAAUACCGGAGAAUGUUAUCACGGGAGACACACGGCGGGUGCUAACGUCCGUCGUGAAGAGGGAAACAACCCAGACCGCCAGCUAAGGUCCCAAAGUCAUGGUUAAGUGGGAAACGAUGUGGGAAGGCCCAGACAGCCAGGAUGUUGGCUUAGAAGCAGCCAUCAUUUAAAGAAAGCGUAAUAGCUCACUGGUCGAGUCGGCCUGCGCGGAAGAUGUAACGGGGCUAAACCAUGCACCGAAGCUGCGGCAGCGACGCUGAUGCGUUGUUGGGUAGGGGAGCGUUCUGUAAGCCUGCGAAGGUGGCCUGUGAGGGUUGCUGGAGGUAUCAGAAGUGCGAAUGCUGACAUAAGUAACGAUAAAGCGGGUGAAAAGCCCGCUCGCCGGAAGACCAAGGGUUCCUGUCCAACGUUAAUCGGGGCAGGGUGAGUCGACCCCUAAGGCGAGGCCGAAAGGCGUAGUCGAUGGGAAACGGGUUAAUAUUCCCGUACUUGGUGUUACUGCGAAGGGGGGACGGAGAAGGCUAUGUUGGCCGGGCGACGGUUGUCCCGGUUUAAGCGUGUAGGUGUGUGUUCCAGGUAAAUCCGGUUCACUUUAACACUGAGGCGUGAUGACGAGGCACUACGGUGCUGAAGCAACAAAUGCCCUGCUUCCAGGAAAAGCCUCUAAGCAUCAGGUAACAUCAAAUCGUACCCCAAACCGACACAGGUGGUCAGGUAGAGAAUACCAAGGCGCUUGAGAGAACUCGGGUGAAGGAACUAGGCAAAAUGGUGCCGUAACUUCGGGAGAAGGCACGCUGACACGUAGGUGAAGUGAUUUACUCAUGGAGCUGAAGUCAGUCGAAGAUACCAGCUGGCUGCAACUGUUUAUUAAAAACACAGCACUGUGCAAACACGAAAGUGGACGUAUACGGUGUGACGCCUGCCCGGUGCCGGAAGGUUAAUUGAUGGGGUCAGCGCAAGCGAAGCUCCUGAUCGAAGCCCCGGUAAACGGCGGCCGUAACUAUAACGGUCCUAAGGUAGCGAAAUUCCUUGUCGGGUAAGUUCCGACCUGCACGAAUGGCGUAAUGAUGGCCAGGCUGUCUCCACCCGAGACUCAGUGAAAUUGAACUCGCUGUGAAGAUGCAGUGUACCCGCGGCAAGACGGAAAGACCCCGUGAACCUUUACUAUAGCUUGACACUGAACAUUGAGCCUUGAUGUGUAGGAUAGGUGGGAGGCUUUGAAGUGUGGACGCCAGUCUGCAUGGAGCCGGCCUUGAAAUACCACCCUUUAAUGUUUGAUGUUCUAACGUGGACCCGUGAUCCGGGUUGCGGACAGUGUCUGGUGGGUAGUUUGACUGGGGCGGUCUCCUCCUAAAGAGUAACGGAGGAGCACGAAGGUUGGCUAAUCCUGGUCGGACAUCAGGAGGUUAGUGCAAUGGCAUAAGCCAGCUUGACUGCGAGCGUGACGGCGCGAGCAGGUGCGAAAGCAGGUCAUAGUGAUCCGGUGGUUCUGAAUGGAAGGGCCAUCGCUCAACGGAUAAAAGGUACUCCGGGGAUAACAGGCUGAUACCGCCCAAGAGUUCAUAUCGACGGCGGUGUUUGGCACCUCGAUGUCGGCUCAUCACAUCCUGGGGCUGAAGUAGGUCCCAAGGGUAUGGCUGUUCGCCAUUUAAAGUGGUACGCGAGCUGGGUUUAGAACGUCGUGAGACAGUUCGGUCCCUAUCUGCCGUGGGCGCUGGAGAACUGAGGGGGGCUGCUCCUAGUACGAGAGGACCGGAGUGGACGCAUCACUGGUGUUCGGGUUGUCAUGCCAAUGGCACUGCCCGGUAGCUAAAUGCGGAAGAGAUAAGUGCUGAAAGCAUCUAAGCACGAAACUUGCCCCGAGAUGAGUUCUCCCUGAGACUUCGAGUCUCCUGAAGGAACGUUGAAGACGACGACG
This 2587-nucleotide ribosomal RNA is filed under the name Salmonella enterica subsp. enterica serovar Schwarzengrund. Its description in RNAcentral is "partial 23S ribosomal RNA". It matches the Rfam family "Bacterial large subunit ribosomal RNA". Lineage: Bacteria; Pseudomonadati; Pseudomonadota; Gammaproteobacteria; Enterobacterales; Enterobacteriaceae. The record is from RNAcentral.